Long non-coding RNA from Herpailurus yagouaroundi (jaguarundi), 778 nucleotides. RefSeq lists it as uncharacterized. Lineage: Eukaryota; Metazoa; Chordata; Mammalia; Carnivora; Felidae. The transcript has 3 exons. The record is from RefSeq and is a predicted model, not a curated record.
ACCCCGAAUCUCAGAGGCUCCAUGUCUGUGCACUGUGGUCGCAGGAUACUUCGGUUCCUGCCCGCGGUGCUCAGGCUCCUACACACGCUCCGUUUUCUCUUUGUUUCUCUCUCUUAGGCAACCCUACUCAUCCUUCCAGGCCUGACAUAGAUGUCGCCACCUCCAGGAAGCCCUCUCUGACUGUGCCAGGUGGAACUGGCUUCUCCUUCCCGAUGUUUGCACCUCCCUUGCCUCUCAGGAGGGGUGACCGUGAACGUGGGGGUGGAAGGAGCCUGGCCUGACCCUUUGCAGAUCCACGUUGGAGUCCUGGGCCCAUCACCUACCGAUUCCACAAGGUCCUCAGCACCUGUGCUGUGGGGGAGGGACGCCAACCCUGUCCUAAGACCCUCACCAUUCACACUGUCACCCUCAAAAAGGUAAUAACAGCAGGGAAGGCAAACGAAUGCCACCCCCGACAGCAUCUCCUUUCACGAGCAUCUUCCUGCUGCUGCUGCCUGGCCUUCGUGUCUGUCCCUCCCUGCCCAAGCACCCUUGGGAAUCCCUGACGUAGUGGACCGUCACCGGCUCUCCUCCUCUACGGUUAUCAGGGCCAGGAUCUAAUUAACGAGAACUAACAGUCAGCAGUUAUUCCGACAGCAGCCGAGACUGUGGCUGUCACAGGGCGUUAUCUGGGCCAUCUUUCCUGGAUCCCAGGGCCCGGACCCCAGAGGUGCUGGCGCUGUCCCGCGCACGUGGCUUCAUGCCCAGCGCCAAACCCAAUGUGGGGCUUGAACUCAGG